Molecule: ribosomal RNA, 412 nt
Filed under: uncultured bacterium
Lineage: Bacteria
Description: bacterial SSU rRNA
Rfam family: Bacterial small subunit ribosomal RNA
Source: RNAcentral
UCGGGAAUAUUGGUCAAUGGGGGAAACCCUGAACCAGCAAUGCCGCGUGAGUGAUGAAGGUUUUCGGAUCGUAAAGCUCUGUCUUUGGGGACGCGGUACCCGAGGAGGAAGCCCCGGCUAACUACGUGCCAGCAGCCGCGGUAAUACGUAGGGGGCGAGCGUUGUCCGGAAUUACUGGGCGUAAAGGGCGAGUAGGCGGUUUAAUAAGUAGAUGUGAAAUACUGAGGCUUAACCUCAGGGCUGCAUUUGAAACUAUUAGACUUGAGUGCAGGAGAGGAAAGUGAAUUCCCAGUGUAGCGGUGAAAUGCGUAGAUAUUGGGGGAACACCAGUGGCGAAGGCGACUUUCUGGACUGUAACUGACGCUGAGGCGCGAAAGCGUGGGGAGCAAACAGGAUUAGAUACCCCAGUAGU